RNAcentral lists this ribosomal RNA (468 nucleotides) under uncultured bacterium. RNAcentral describes it as "partial 16S ribosomal RNA". It matches the Rfam family "Bacterial small subunit ribosomal RNA", at positions 28 to 507 of the family's 1533-position model. The record is from RNAcentral.
GACGAACGCUGGCGGCGUGCUUAACACAUGCAAGUCGAACGGAAAGGCCCUGCUAUUGUGGGGUGCUCGAGUGGCGAACGGGUGAGUAACACGUGAGUAACCUGCCCUUGACUUUGGGAUAACUUCAGGAAACUGGGGCUAAUACCGGAUAGGAGCUCCUGCUGCAUGGUGGGGGUUGGAAAGUGUCGGCGGUUGGGGAUGGACUCGCGGCUUAUCAGCUUGUUGGUGGGGUAGUGGCUUACCAAGGCUUUGACGGGUACCCGGCCUGAGAGGGUGACCGGCCACAUUGGGACUGAGAUACGGCCUAGACUCCUACGGGAGGCAGCAGUGGGGAAUAUUGCACAAUGGGCGGAAGCCUGAUGCAGCAACGCCGCGUGCGGGAUGACGGCCUUCGGGUUGUAAACCGCUUUCGCCUGUAACGAAGCGUGAGUGACGGUAAUGGGUAAAGAAGCACCGGCUAACUACGUG